UUGAAGUACUCGAUUCUUAGUU
RNAcentral lists this non-coding RNA (22 nucleotides) under Arabidopsis thaliana (thale cress). The record is from RNAcentral. Lineage: Eukaryota; Viridiplantae; Streptophyta; Magnoliopsida; Brassicales; Brassicaceae.